GGACCCGUAGCUCAGCUGGAUAGAGCGUUGCCCUCCGAAGGCAAAGGUCGUACGUUCGAAUCGUAUCGGGUCCGCCA
RNAcentral lists this transfer RNA (77 nucleotides) under Azospirillum brasilense. RNAcentral's name for it is "tRNA-Arg". It matches the Rfam family "tRNA". From Rfam's summary of the family: Transfer RNA (tRNA) molecules are approximately 80 nucleotides in length. Their secondary structure includes four short double-helical elements and three loops (D, anti-codon, and T loops). The record is from RNAcentral. Lineage: Bacteria; Pseudomonadati; Pseudomonadota; Alphaproteobacteria; Rhodospirillales; Azospirillaceae. RNAcentral also lists the same sequence under 59 other names.